GAUGAACGCUGGCGGCGUGCUUAACACAUGCAAGUCGAACGGGAAAUAUUUCAUUGAGACUUCGGUGGAUUUGAUCUAUUUCUAGUGGCGGACGGGUGAGUAACGCGUGGGUAACCUGCCUUAUACAGGGGGAUAACAGUCAGAAAUGGCUGCUAAUACCGCAUAAGCGCACAGAGCUGCAUGGCUCAGUGUGAAAAACUCCGGUGGUAUAAGAUGGACCCGCGUUGGAUUAGCUUGUUGGCAGGGUAACGGCCUACCAAGGCGACGAUCCAUAGCCGGCCUGAGAGGGUGAACGGCCACAUUGGGACUGAGACACGGCCCAGACUCCUACGGGAGGCAGCAGUGGGGAAUAUUGCACAAUGGGGGAAACCCUGAUGCAGCGACGCCGCGUGAAGGAAGAAGUAUCUCGGUAUGUAAACUUCUAUCAGCAGGGAAGAUAGUGACGGUAC
This 449-nucleotide ribosomal RNA is filed under the name uncultured bacterium. RNAcentral describes it as "bacterial SSU rRNA". It matches the Rfam family "Bacterial small subunit ribosomal RNA", at positions 28 to 478 of the family's 1533-position model. The record is from RNAcentral.